UACGAAGGGGGGCUAGCGUUGCUCGGAAUCACUGGGCGUAAAGGGUGCGUAGGCGGGUCUUUUAAGUCAGAGGUGAAAUCCUGGAGCUCAACUCCAGAACUGCCUUUGAUACUGAGGGUCUUGAGUAUGACAGAGGUGAGUGGAACUGCGAGUGUAGAGGUGAAAUUCGUAGAUAUUCGCAAGAACACCAGUGGCGAAGGCGGCUCACUGGGUCAUUACUGACGCUGAGGCACGAAAGCGUGGGGAGCAAACAGGG
This 256-nucleotide ribosomal RNA is filed under the name uncultured bacterium. RNAcentral's name for it is "partial 16S ribosomal RNA". It matches the Rfam family "Bacterial small subunit ribosomal RNA", at positions 524 to 777 of the family's 1533-position model. The record is from RNAcentral.